This 468-nucleotide ribosomal RNA is filed under the name uncultured bacterium. Its description in RNAcentral is "partial 16S ribosomal RNA". It matches the Rfam family "Bacterial small subunit ribosomal RNA", at positions 28 to 507 of the family's 1533-position model. The record is from RNAcentral.
GACGAACGCUGGCGGCGUGCUUAACACAUGCAAGUCGAACGGAAAGGCCCUGCUUUUGUGGGGUGCACGAGUGGCGAGGGGGUGAGUAACACGUGAGUAACCUGCCCUUGUCUUUGGGAUAACUUCAGGAAACUGGGGCUAAUACCGGAUAGGAGCUACUGCUGCAUGGUGUGGGUUGGAAAAUUUCGGCGGUUGGGGAUGGUCUCGCGGCUUAUCAGCUUGUUGGUGGGGUAGUGGCUUACAAAGGCUUUGACGGGUAGCCGGCCUGAGAGGGUGACCGGCCACAUGGGGACUGAGAUACGGACCAGACUCCUACGGUAGGCAGCAGUGGGGAAUAUUGCACAAUGGGCGGAAGCCUGAUGCAGCAACGCCGCGAGCGGGAUGACGGCCUUCGGGUUGUAAACCGCUUUCGCCGGUGACGAAGCGUGAGUGACGGUAAUGGGUAAAGAAGCACCGGCUAACUACGUG